This 253-nucleotide ribosomal RNA is filed under the name uncultured bacterium. RNAcentral's name for it is "partial 16S ribosomal RNA". It matches the Rfam family "Bacterial small subunit ribosomal RNA", at positions 524 to 776 of the family's 1533-position model. The record is from RNAcentral.
UACAGAGGGGGCAAGCGUUGUUCGGAAUUACUGGGCGUAAAGGGCGCGUAGGCGGCCUGUUAAGUCGAACGUGAAAUCCCCGGGCUCAACCCGGGAACUGCGUCCGAUACUGGCAGGCUUGAAUCCGGGAGAGGGAUGCGGAAUUCCAGGUGUAGCGGUGAAAUACGUAGAGAUUGGGAAGAACACCAGUGGCGAAGGCGGCUAUCUGGACGGUUUCUGACGCUAAGACGCGAAAGCGUGGGGAGCAAACAGG